RNAcentral lists this transfer RNA (93 nucleotides) under Salmo salar (Atlantic salmon). It matches the Rfam family "tRNA". From Rfam's summary of the family: Transfer RNA (tRNA) molecules are approximately 80 nucleotides in length. The record is from Rfam by way of RNAcentral. Lineage: Eukaryota; Metazoa; Chordata; Actinopteri; Salmoniformes; Salmonidae. RNAcentral also lists the same sequence under 1 other name.
UUCCCUGUGGCUCAGUUGGUAGAGCAUGGUGUUUGCAACGCCAGCAUGGUGUGUGCAACGCCAGGGUUGUGGGUUUGAUUCCCACGGGGGAAC